This 424-nucleotide ribosomal RNA is filed under the name uncultured prokaryote. Its description in RNAcentral is "bacterial SSU rRNA". It matches the Rfam family "Bacterial small subunit ribosomal RNA", at positions 355 to 796 of the family's 1533-position model. The record is from RNAcentral.
UGGGGAAUAUUGGACAAUGGGGGCAACCCUGAUCCAGCCAUGCCGCGUGAGUGAAGAAGGCCCUAGGGUUGUAAAGCUCUUUCAGCAGGGAAGAUGAUGACGGUACCUGCAGAAGAAGCCCCGGCUAACUCCGUGCCAGCAGCCGCGGUAAUACGGAGGGGGCUAGCGUUGCUCGGAAUUACUGGGCGUAAAGAGCACGUAGGCGGAUAGUCAAGUCAGGCGUGAAAGCCCCGGGCUCAACCCGGGAACUGCGCUUGAUACUGAUUGUCUUGAGUCCGAGAGAGGGUGGUGGAAUUCCCAGUGUAGAGGUGAAAUUCGUAGAUAUUGGGAAGAACACCAGUGGCGAAGGCGGCCACCUGGCUCGGUACUGACGCUGAGGUGCGAAAGCGUGGGGAGCAAACAGGAUUAGAUACCCCCGUAGUCC